AAAAAGUAAAGGAAGAGGGGCCCACGAAUAAGGAUCAAAGGAGAAGAAAAAACUUCUUCUUCUUCACCAAGGAAUUCACUCACAAAAAGGAAAAAAUCCUCCAUCGUCAUACACAGGGGAUAUCACUAAAAAAGGGAGGACCUAUCUUCUUCUUCUUAAAAAAAAAAGGACCCUUCUGUUAUUCUCAUUCUCACCAGUAACACGCACACGCACACUCUCAAAAAACACACACACAACACUCAUUAUUUUACCUUACUGAAUCAGUAAACACACAGAGAGAGCUGCGAGGGAGAAAGAUGGGAAAGAGCAGCUGAAUGAGAAAGAAGUAAAAGGAGAAUAGGCCGGAGAACACUAUUUUGGCGACUAUUCGCUCAUCGGAAGCCCCAUCUCAGGUUCUGUACUGGCCAAGUUUGACAAGAUCUUUGUCGGUAGUCGAUCAUCAUUCGUCGACUUGACCGACCAUUUUGAAAUCACCAAAAAUCUCAUCGUUUCUUUUGAUUUUCAAGUAAAUCCGGCAUGAAUACGUUGAAACUCAUCGGAAUCCUCCCUUUCUGAUUGCUUUUCCGCUGUCCGAGCUUAUCGAAGCUCAGGCUACACUAUUCUUUGGUUUUAUUAUGUAUUGGGGUUUCUGUGUUCGUCUGACUUUGUAUUCCGUUGCCAGAAUUGGGCUUCGGGGGAUUCAUCGAUUUUUGUUCCUGUUUUAGGGUUUAGUAUUUUGCACGUCUCAACCAGUUUUUGGUUUCAAAUUCCUCAAUAUCGAAGUUGGAGUUCGUCACUGUUGAGGUUUGGUUCGAGGUUUUCGGGUGCGGAUUCUGUCCUUUUAUUAAAGUAUUAUUAAAUUUCAGAAUCUUCGAAUUGAGGUUCAAUUCUAUUCCCUGUUUCUGUUAGUUCAUUAUUCAUUAUAUUUGGAUGCAUCAAAUUACGUGUUAUGUCUUGCUUGAUCUGUGUUGGUGGUGAAUCUUUAGUUGUUUUGAAUCGUGAAUUAAUUUGGGAGGGGGGGGGGUAAGAAUUAAAAACUUGACAUAAUUGGUGAAUUUUGGUUAGUUUGAUUCAUUGGUUGUUUGACUUGAAAUGAACGUUAAUCGAACUUAGAAGUAUCUUGAUACAUUGAUUGGUUUAGAAAACAUAGUUUGGAUAGGCAAAGUUUAGAAUUUGUGGCUUCGGUUGAAUUUGGAAAUUUUGUGGAAUGUUUGAAAUUUUGUUGAAUAGUUUUAUUUUCCCGCACUAAAAAUGUAUUCAUUUGGCCGGGGGAUGCCUCGAGGGAUUUGUAUUAAUUUAUUCGGAAAAUGCCCCGAAGUAUCUUGUACUUGAAGGACGUUCGCGAGGAAGGACCGAGGUAUCGGGUGAGGCAUUGGAGCUUAGUUUAGGAUUAGUUUAGAAUAGGAUUUACAUUUUCGUAUUUUUCUAUUUCGGGACUGUAUGACUCGGAUUGGACACUAUAUUUUGGAUCACUUUUUUUUUGUUUAUUUGUUUGAUUGUUUUAAAUGUUUUGUGUGGUUUGUACAUCGUAGUGCCAAAUUAGUCGAUACCCUCCACCAAGCGACCAUGGUCGAACCACGGGACCGAAGGGUGCCUAACACCUUCCCCGCGGUCAACAAAAUUCCUUAGUCGGAAUCUCUGUUCGCAAAUUAGUUUAAAGAAUCAAAUCAUUUUGAAAAGGAUCUUUCAAAGCUGACUUGGCACACCAGAUUAUGCCAAGUGGCGACUCUGAAUAAAAAUGUAAAUAAUCCUUUUUCGAAACAACCUUCAAUAUUUUGUCACCUUAAUAACAAAACCCUUUCAAACUUAAAACGAAUCUUCUUUUUUGGAGUGUAAAAAGGGGUGUGACAGCUCUGGCGACUCUGCUGGGGAUUUUUCAGAAUUCGAGCUUAUAUUUUUGAGUCGUAUCGGCUUUGUUUGGCAUUAUGGGUGUAUAAACAUUGUUUGUGAUUAUUGUUUGUGUUAUUGUUAUCACUGUUGUGCGUUUCUGUGCUCUUUGUUUACAGUUUUUCUUUAUGUGUUACCGCUUUAUAUCUGACAUCAUUUGCAUAACUCGAGUCAAUUCUUUCUGCAAUAAGUUUCGGAGUGCACGUCGUACGCACGAACUCUAGUUGAGUCACCCUUAUUUUAGGGGGGGAGCCGUUGUAUGUAUGGAGUAGGUGGAAAGCAAAGCAGCCACUAUCGAUCAUAUGCUCCCCCGAACGGCCUUGUUAGUAAACCACAACAUAGGUCAGCCUUUAGGUCAUGCUUAUGUGCAUCAUAUUGAGACCUAGCGGGGCCCACUUGGUCCUUUGUAGGAGACUUACCUCUAAAGCAUCCUACGUGCUAAAUGUUGCAUCUCUGAGGGUAGCGUGGUCAUUUGACGGACUGAUUUGGAAAAAACAUGGGCUAGAAUUAAAGAAAGAUGUCUAGGCAUGGAGAAAUCAAAAAAAUAAAAAGGAAAAAGAAAAAAGGUAAAUCAAAAAGAGUUUCGUAGUUUUUUUGGAUUUCUUUAUGACUUUUAUUUUUCACAAUCCAAAAAUUCAAAAAGAUUUUCUUACCUUUUUCAUGCAUUUACUCAAAAAUAAAAAAAAUAAAAAGAUUUUCCCUUUAUCUCUUUUAGCAUGCAUUCAUAAUUCAAAAAAAAUUCCACAAAAAAAAAAUGUUUUUUUAGGAGUUUUUUUUUUAUAAAAGGAAAAUGCAAAAAUGGUAGAAGUUCUAUACAUUUCAUCUAACGAAAAUGCCAAAAAAAAAAAAUUCUCUUUUAUAGUUGUUGGUGUAGUUUUGUGCGAAGAGUUUAAUUGAAAACCCAAAAAGAUUUUAUUUCUCAUCGUCUGUCUGUAAUCGCGUCUCUCAAGUCAAGUCAUAGUUCGUUUUAAUCCUUAAUUGUUCAAUCUGGAUGAACUUCGCCCCCCUGAUUCUCCUCUCCCGGGAGUGAGAUACGUAGGCAGCCUAUUGUUGGUUCGGGGAUCUUAUUUCAAAAAUCCAAAAAGAUUUUCUUCACUAUUUAUUUAGAGUAGGUGUCAUAUACUUCGUUAAUAGAAAACUGCAAAAAGAUCUUUCUUUGAUAGUUUCAAUUUUUUUUUUCAUAUGAAAUUCAAAAUUGAAAACCCAAAAAGAUUUUCUUUGGUAAUCAUAGGUUUCAUUUCGUAUAGGAAUCUGAAAAAUCCAAAAAGAUUUCCUUCACUUUUCAUUUAGGGUAGGUGUUUCAUAGACAUCUUUAAGAGAAAACUACAAAAAAGAUUUUCCUUUAAUAGGUUCAAGUUUCAUUUUCGUAUGAAAUGCAAAAAAAAAAAAAAUCUUUCUUUGGUAAUCAUAGAUUUCAUUUUGUAUAGGGAUGUCAAAACUGAAAAAAAUUCAAAAAGAUUUUCGUCAAUUCUUUUGACAAAUUGUUAUUUUCUUUUCUUCUUAAAGUUUCAAGGAAUAGAAAAAGAGUUUAAUUGGCCAUUUUCGCAAGACUUCACAAACUACACACACCUGAUUCUCCUCUUUCGGGGGUGAGAUGCGUAGGCGCCCUUCUCGGGUUCGGUGAUCUUAUAAAAAAAGAAGAAGGAAAAAAGAGUUUUGAAAAAGUGUCGAACUUUAAUGCAUUUUCUAUCUCUUGUUCAGUUAGUUUAAGGUGGUUGGUUUGUGGCAUUCUGGCUGGUCCUCCACAUCACACCAAAUCCAAAGGGUUAGUUGUGUCCAACAAGGAUAUAGAGAGUAGCAUCAUGGAUCAAACAAAGAGUCAAGAAAUUUAGAGUUUAAAGGAAGAGAAUUGGAGACUAAGACAACAAGUAAUGGAAAUGUAUCGAGCCUGGGCCAGUGGGCUGCCUCCGCCUCUGUUCCCCACUUUUAACCUUGCAAAUACCUUGAGUCUUCCACUAAAAUUGCAAAGUCAAUUUCUUGAUAUUGUUGAUGCAUCAUAGCAUGUCGCAGAAUCCAUUCCACGUCAAAUGAACCCAAUACUUUCACCACUCAUUCUUUAGCUCCUCAGUAUAAGCCUACUAUGUUCAUAGCACCAUAUACCAUUUGUGCCUUUGUUGCUCAACCUUCUAGUAAAGCUUCCACUUUGGCUAUCAACUCAAUGGUUGUGCCACCCUAAUCUGCUAGUGGACCCAUGUUCAUGGCUCUUGACGAUCAUUGCUAUACUCUUGAGCCUACAAUUAAGUUAAGUGGACCGCCAAAAUUUCUUACCAAGAAGCGUAGCAUACUAGAAAAGCCAGAGGAAAUUGUGGGGAAGGUGAAGAAUAUAGAAAAUGACUUGGAAAGUUUCCUGGGACUUGUGGGUAAAGAGGAUGUUUUAUAGUAAGACUGGGGUAUGUCUUCAGAUGUCAACCUUCUUCAAAGCUUUGAAAUAUCAAAAGUUGAGGAACAUGAUGGACAAAAGGAUUCUAGGAAACAUUUAGAACGAUAGUGCAAUCAAUCUAGGGAAACUAAAAGAAAGAAGAAGGGAAACAAACCUAUUAUCGCGCCAGGGCAAAAACAGAGUUCGAGAGGUCCAACUCACCAAUAUUGUUAGCACCAAUCCCGAGCUUACAUAUCAAAUCUAUAUACUCACCUACAACAUGGUUCCUCUUUUCAAAAUCCAAGAUAUUUCAUUCCAUGUCCUUAGUAUCCUUUGAACAAUGCACAGUCGUAUGCUGAUUCGUCUUUCUAUUCACAAUGGCAUGUACCGGCACCUCAACAUCGUCCUCAGCCCCCACAAAUUUACCAAGGAACCUCUAAAUCCAAGUUUCAUUCGAGGUCAGAGUUCACAAACAGGGGGAAGGAAAAGGAUAAUUUCACUCCCAUUGGGGAAUCCUAUGCUAGUUUGUUCUAGAGAUUGAGACAGGGGGGAUUAAUUACUCCUCUCCUUGGGUGUACGCCUGACCCGCAUUCAAGAAAAUUUAACCCUAGUGUACAGUAUGCAUAUCAUUCUGAUGUUCAGGGUCAUAGUACUAAAGAUUGUCAUACUUUGAAAAGAGAAAUAGAAAAAAUGAUUUAGGAAAAAAUAAUUGUAGUGAAAAAUGUUGACACCUCGAGCGUCACAAAGAAUACUACACCAACACAUGGCGAUGCACAAUACGUGGGAAUCAAUGAGUUAAACAUGAAGAUCCAGAACUUAUUUAUGGAGGGAAAAGUGUUUGAUGGCGAUGAAAGCUUUAGUCAUGAUGUGCAAACCAGUGGCUAAGUUAUCAGACUGAGCGAUUGAGAAGUCACCCCUCUCCCUACUUGGAAGGGGUCUGGUAUUUUAUUUUGUUUCCUUUUCUAUUCUUCGAAUUACUUUAAGGUUGUAGUUCGGGAUCUAUCUUGUUAUGUCCCUGCGUCAUUUGUGUUCAAACCUUUCUUUAUUAUAUUUCAACUAAAUGAAGUGUCCCUUUUCCUUUGUGUUUUAAAUAUGUGUUUUGUUUUCUUUCCACAUUAUAUUUUAUGUUGACUCUAGUGAUAUGACAUGCUAAGGAGAUUUUCAGCCAGAUCUUAAAAUCCAGUUUAAGAAUGAACAUUGAAUCAGAGGGUUAAAGUUAGAAAAAGAGAGAAUAUGAGAAAAUAGAUAGAGUUCUGAGACAUUUGGUGACAGGUUAAGGCAAUUAUUUUGAGAAUCACAAGAACAACUUGGUCAUCGAUCGAAAGACAGGUCCCAAUUAGGUCAAAUAGUGGACGUGUGAUCCCUAUAUCAAGAGAAACAAGAAGAUAAUCAGAUUCACGAAAGUAUGAGUCAUUCGAUGUGAGAAAUGUACAACAAAGGUGGAGUUUGCAGAAAAAGUGGGAUGCACAGACUCAAUCUGCUUAAAACAAUGUCUCAAAUGAUCAUCAUCUCUUACUUCCAAUUGCAUGUUAUGUACUUUCAUACUCAAGGAUUGAUAUGAUGAAGGCAUUUUAUUCUGCUAUCCAAACAUUGUGUCAUCCUUUGUUUACCCCGUUUGAGUCUUAGUGUUAUUUUCUUUCAUACCCCUAUUUUGGAAUCAGAUAGAGUCAAGAAAGCUCAAAAGAAAAGGUGUCGAACAAAAUAGUAAAGUCAGAAAAGUUUCAAAAGAAAAAAAGAAGAGAAAAAUAUGUCCAAAAAGAGAAAAAUAAGAGCGUCUGUCGAGAAAAAUAAAGUCAAAAAAAUCACAAAGAAAAAAGAGUAAAAAAAGAAGAAGAAGAAUAAGUCAGAAUCAAGCAAAAAAGAAUAAGCUGCCAGAACUAUGCAUGACCUGAUUCUCCUCUGUCGAAGAUGAGAUACGUAGGCUGCACUACCCUAGGCUCGGUCCAACCAAAUAAAUAAUUUAGAAUUACCCAGUCAAAAGAAACUGGGGCAUGAGUUAAUCCUCAUUGUUUGAGUCGAUUUCAAAAAUUGUAAGUCCUACCCACUUCAAGUGUCGUUUGGGCCCCAUGCCAUCCUUUCUUUCUAACUUUAUCCAAAAGCCAAGAUACAACCAAAGAAAGACCUUCAGAUCAAUCUUUGAGAAUGUUAAGGCUAAGUAUGCAAUGCAUAUGAUGACGCAUUUUGGGAACUGUUCGUCUUCCUCGGCAUAAGGAAUCAAGAGAGAAAUAAAAAUGAGAGAGUCUUAUUGGUGAAAAUCCUUACGGGCACCAUAAGGCGAUGGUAAGUUGAGAGAAAUAAAAAUGAGAGAGUAUUAUUGGUGAAAACCCUUACGAGCACCAUAAGGCGAUAGUGAUCUGAGAGAAAAUAAAAGAAGCUUGUUGGCGAAUUCAAGGCUCCACUAGCCGAAUGGGGUCUUAAAUGCAAUUAACCUAAGAAAGCAACUCAGUUUCAAGGCCAUUAACUCAACAACAAUGGGUAGAAAGUUUGUAUGAAAAGAUCAAACUGCUUAAUCCAAAAUACAUGGCAUAAUCAUAAGUGUUGACUGUCAUUUUUAGAUGAAUUUUUUGUUUCUUUAUUUUAAAAGGGGACAUUCAUCGUCUUUUCUUUCUUCUCUGUAAUUUAAUUUUAUCUUUCUUGAGUUAGUUAUCCAAACAAAAAUUAUCAUUCUUUUCUUCGUUUCUUAUCUUUGAGUCAAGUCCAUGUCAAAACAAAUGAGAAAAGAAUUCAAAAUUGGCUACCAGCUUAUUUAAUUGCACAAAGCAAGACAAAAGCUAGCACAUGAAGGAGACAUGAUUGUGAGACAAAAAAGGGCAUGCAGAAAGUUUUAUCAACAGAGAAGUCAGGGAACUCAUGGAAAUACCAAGGUUCAAAGAGUUUAUCUGAGGAGCAUGGCAAAACAGAGAUACUGUGUUUGUUUCAAAGUCACUCUUAAUCAUCUAAGUUUGAGUUAAUUAAGUAGCAAGUCAAUGAUAUAUGUAAUGGUUGGAAGCAAGAUCAAUGUGAUGAGGUCAAGGACGAUCUCUGCAAAAGUUAAAGCCACAAAUCAGCCACCAUGUUUCAAACUCACAAGUUUUCUUUGAUGAAAUAGGAAACAUACUACCUUCAAAGCAAGAACUUUAGAGUAUAAACAUCAUGGGCUGCAAUGCCUCACUUUUAUAAAUACAGGGAGCAAUGUUUCUGCAUAGGUUUGAUAAUUAAAUCAUGGUAAAAAUGAUCAUCUUAUAUCCCUCGGAGACACACUUUUUUGUCCAGGGAUUUCAGUUUUCAUUUGCUGGGUGAUACACUUCUUAUAUUGAACCUUCACUCCUAGAAGAUGUACCUUCUAGUCGAGUCAUUCCCUUUGAUUCCUAUAAGAUGUACCUUUUUUCGAGUCAUCCCCUUUGAUUCCUAUAAAACGUACCUUUUAGUCGAGUUAUUCCCUUUGAUUCCUAAAAGACGUACCUUUUAGUCAAGUCAUUCCCUUUGAUUCCUAGAAUAGGUACCUUUUAGUCAAGUCAUUCCCUUUGAUCCCUAUAAAACGUACCUUUUAGUCGAGUCAUCCCCUUUGAUUCCUAUAAGACGUACCUUUUAGUCGAGUCAUUCCCUUUGAUUCCUAGAAGAUGUACCUUUUAGUCGAGUCAUUCCCUUUGAUUCCUAGAAGACGUACCUUUUAGUCGAGUCAUUCCCUUUGAUUCCUAGAAGACAUACCUUUUAGUUGAGUCAUUCCCUUUGAUUCCUAUAAGACGUACCUUUUAGUUGAGUUGCUCCUUUGACCCCUAUAAGACAUACCUUUUAGUCGAGUCAUUCCCUCUGAUUCCUAUAAGACCUUUUAGUCGGUCAUCUCUUUUGAUUCCUAUUAGACGUACCUUUUAGUCGAGUCAUCACCUUUGAUUCCAAUAAGAUGUACCUUUUAGUUGAGUCAUCUCUCUUAAUUCCUAUAAGACGUACCUUUUGGUCGAGUCAUCCUCCCUUGACCCUUAGAAGACUUACCUUUUAGUCGAGUCGCUCCUUGAUUCCUAUAAGAUGUACCUUUUAGUCGAGUCAUCACCCUUGAUUCCUAUUAGACGUACCUUUUAGUCGAGUCAUUUCCCUUUGACUCCUAUAAUACGUACCUUUUAGUUGAGUCAUUCCCUUUGAUUCCUAGAAGACGUACCUUUUAGUCUACUCAUUCCCUUUGACCCCUAGAAGACGUACCUUUUAGUUGAGUCAUUCCCUUUGAUUCCUAUAAGACGUACCUUUUAGUCGAGUCAUCUCAUGAAAAAUGGAACUUUACUUUUUAUUCAGGACCCUCCUGAAAAAUGAGAUUUUACUUUCUGUUCAGGACCCUCCUAAAAAAUGAGAUUUUACUUUCUGUUCAGAACCCUCCUGAAAAAUAGGACUUUACUUUCUGUUCAGGACCCUCCUGAAGAAUGGAAUUUUUACUUUCUGUUCAGGACCCUCCUGAAGAAUGGGAUUUUACUUUCUGUUCAGGAUCCUCCUAAAAAUAGGAUUUUACUUUCUGUUCAGGACCCUCCUAAAAAAUGGGAUUUUACUUUCUGUUCAAGACCCUCCUGAAAAAUGGGAUUUUACUUUCUGUUCAGGACCCUCCUGAAAAAUGAGAUUUUAUUUUCUGUUUUGGGCCCUCCUAAGAAAAUGGAAUUUUACUUUAUGUUCAGGACCCUCAUUAAAAAUGAGAAUUUACUUUCUAUUUAGGACCCUCCUGGAAAAUGGGAAUUUACUUUCAAGUUAGGAUCUGGGAAUUUACUUCCAAUUCAGGACCUUCCUGGAAAAUGAGAAUUUACUUUAUGUUCAGGACCCUCCUAGAAAAUGGGAAUUUACUUUAUGUUCAGGACCCUCCUGAAAAAUAGGAUUUUACUUUCUGUUUAGGACCCUUCUGGAAAAUGGGAUUUUACUUUCUGUUCAGGACCCUCCUGAAAAAUGAAAUUUUACUUUCUGUUUAGGACCCCCUAAAAAAUGAGAUUUUACUUUAUUUUCAGGACUCUCCUGAAAUGAGAGUUUUCUUUAUGUUCAGGACCCUCCUGGAACCUAAAAAAUGAGAUUUUACUUUAUGUUUAGGACUCUCUUGAAAUGGGAAUUUACUUUAUGUUCAGGACCCUCCUGGAAAAUGGGACAUUACUUUCAGAAAAAUGAAACCUCUUUAUAAUAAUCUUUGUUUGGAAUAAUUUUUUUUUUAGUUUUGAUGUGAUUUCAGGAGUCCGCCUGAAGAAUAGGGUAAGGAAAUUGAAAGAUAAGCAAUGAGGUGAAACAUUUGAAAUCUAAACAACAAGUUGAUGAAAUUGCAAGUCAGGAGCCUGCUUGAAGAAUAGGGUGAGGAAAUUAUAAGUCAGGAGCCCACCCAAAGCACAGGGUGAUGAAAUGGCAAGUUAGGAGCUCGCCCGAAGCACAGGGUGAUGAAAUGGCAAGUUAGGAGCUCACCCGAAGCACAGGGAGAAUAAAUGAAAAGUUAAGCAACAAGGUGAAGCUAUUAAAAACCAGGCAACAAGUGAUGAAAUUGCAAGUCAUGAGCCUGCUUGAAGAAUAGGGUGAUGAAACUUAAGUCAGGAGUCUAACAGAAGCUGUAUAGAUAGGAUUUUUGUAAUUUCAUUUAUGUUUUAACUUGUAAUUUUCAUUUUAAUGUAAUGACAGAGCCGUGGACCGGAACCUCGAUGAAACCACACUCGACUCUCCAACUCAGUAUAGCCUUUCUCCUUCCUUUGGAAGUACCUGUGAUGGGUUUCUUUCAUAACUUAGGUAGGUAGGAUGUCCUAAGUCAAGACCUGGUUUCCCUCCUUCCUCUUGCUCCAUGCUUUUGAAUAAAGGUCGGGACAAAAUUCUAUCUCGUUGUCUACUUCUUUGUCUGAAAACACUGCGUGUUUACAUUCAAAGGGGGCAUGAUGUAGACACGUAAUUUUAUCCCUCCAAAAUAUUAGUUUUCACCUUUUUACCUAUCCUACCGUGUACCCUCAACCAUGUAAUUAUCCCCCUCACAAAAAUAUAAAAAUAAUAACUCCCUAACAAAUUUUAUCCUAUCCUAACCCCCUCUACACCUCACCUACUACCCCACCUACCCUAUACCCCACCUCUUUCCUUCACAUUUAAUUAUCAUUAACAGAAAAAAGGGAACAAAAAAGGAAUGGAACAAAAAUAGGUGGGCCCCAUAGUAAAACAAGAAUUCACUCCAUUUUCAUUUGAACACCUCACGUGAUCCCCCCGUUUUUUUUCAUUUCAUAAUUAUUUACACUACAUUCCAAAAGAGGAUAACAACUUAUGAGGCCCACGGUGCAAGGAAUCACAAUUUUUCCUUUGCUUUUUCCAUUCCACACACCUAUUGAGGGACUGGACCAUUUCUAUAUAUAUAUAGUCCUUACACAUAUACAGAAGGGAGAGAGCACAAAAAGUAAAGGGUGAGGGGACCAUGGAUAAGGAUCAAAGGAGAAGAAAAAACUUCUUCUUCUUGACCUAGGAAUUCACUCACAAAAAGGAAAAAAUCCUCCAUCGUCAUACACAGGGGAUAUCACUCAAAAAGGGAGGACCCAUCUUCUUCUUCUUCAAAAAAGGGACCCCUUUAUUAUUCUCAUUCUCACUAGUAACACGCAUACACACACUCUCAGAAAACACACAUGCGACACUCACUAUUUCACCUCACUGAAUCAGUAAACACACAGAGAGAAAGAGCUGUGAGGGAGAGAGAUGGGAGAGAGCAGCUAAACAGAGAGAGGGAAAAAAAUAAUAGGUCGGAGAACACUGUUCCGACGACUGUUUUUUCACCGAAAAUCCAUCUCAGGUUCUAUACUGGCCAUGUUCGGUGAGAUCUUCACCAGUAGUCGAUCAUCAUCCGUCGACUUCACCGACCAGUUUGAAAUCACCAAAAAUCUCAUCGUUUCUUUUGAUUUUCAAGUAAAUCAGCUUGAAUACAUUGAAACUUGCCGAAAUCCUCCCUUUCUCAUUAUUUUGCCGCUGUCCGAGCUUACCGAAGCUCAGGCUACACUGUUCUUUGGUUCUAUUAUGUAUUGGGGUUUCUGGGUUUGUCUGACUUUGUGUUCUGUCGCCAGAAUCGGGCUUCGGGGGAUUCAUCGGCUUUUGUUCCUGUUUUGUGGUUUAGUAUUUCGCACGUCUCAACUAGUUUUUGGUUUUCAAUUCCUCAAUAUCAAAGUUGGAGUUCGUCACUAUUGAGGUUCGGUUCGAGGUUUUCGGGCGCGGAUUCCAUCCUUUUAUUAAAGUAUUAUUGAAUUUUGAAAUCUUCUAAUUGAGGUUCAAUCCUAUUCCCUAUUUCUGUUAGUUCAUUAUUCAUUAUAUUUAGAUGCAUCAAAUUGCGUGUUAUGUCUUGCUUGAUAUGUGUUGGUGGUGAAUCUUUAGUUGUUUUG
Molecule: long non-coding RNA, 11547 nt
Filed under: Capsicum annuum
Lineage: Eukaryota; Viridiplantae; Streptophyta; Magnoliopsida; Solanales; Solanaceae
Description: long non-coding RNA (CANN_LNC016382)
Source: RNAcentral